Molecule: ribosomal RNA, 392 nt
Filed under: uncultured bacterium
Lineage: Bacteria
Description: bacterial SSU rRNA
Rfam family: Bacterial small subunit ribosomal RNA
Source: RNAcentral
UGGCGGAAUGCUUUACACAUGCAAGUCGAACGGCAGCACGGGGCAACCUGGUGGCGAGUGGCGAACGGGUGAGUAAUACAUCGGAACGUGCCCAAUCGUGGGGGAUAACGUAGCGAAAGUUACGCUAAUACCGCAUACGAUCUACGGAUGAAAGCGGGGGAUCGCAAGACCUCGCGCGAAUGGAGCGGCCGAUGUCAGAUUAGGUAGUUGGUGGGGUAAAGGCUCACCAAGCCGACGAUCUGUAGCUGGUCUGAGAGGACGACCAGCCACACUGGGACUGAGACACGGCCCAGACUCCUACGGGAGGCAGCAGUGGGGAAUUUUGGACAAUGGGCGCAAGCCUGAUCCAGCCAUUCCGCGUGCAGGAUGAAGGNCUUCGGGUUGUAAACUGC